RNAcentral lists this long non-coding RNA (5597 nucleotides) under Mizuhopecten yessoensis (Yesso scallop). RNAcentral's name for it is "uncharacterized LOC110462502". Lineage: Eukaryota; Metazoa; Mollusca; Bivalvia; Pectinida; Pectinidae. The record is from RNAcentral.
CCCAGGUUUUCUCGGGAGAAUCUGAUUUCACUUCCUAGGUUUUUCUCGGGGAGAAUCUGAUUUCACUUCCCAGAUUUUCUCAGGGAGAAUCUGAUUUCUCUUCCCGGGUUUUCUCGGGGAGAAUCUGAUUUCACUUCCCAGGUUUUCUCAGGGAAAAUCUGAUUUCACUUCCCGGGUUUUCUUGGGGAGAAUCUGAUUUCACUUCCCAGCUUUUCUCGGGGAGAAUCUGAUUUCUCUUCCCAGGUUUUCUUGGGGUGACUCUGAUUUCACUUCCCACGUUUUCUCGGGGAGAAUCUGAUUUCACUUCCCAGGGUUUCUUGGGGAGAAUCUGAUUUCUCUUCCCAGGUUUUCUUGGGGAGAAUCCGAUUUCACUUCCCAGGUUUUCUUGGGGAGAAUCUGAUUUCAAUUCCUAGGUUUUCUCAGGGAGAAUCUGAUUUCUCUUCCCAGGUUUUCUCAGGGAGAAUCUGAUUUCACUUCCUAGGUUUUCUUGGGGAGAUUCUGAUUUCACUUCCCAGAUUUUCUCAGGGAGAAUCUGAUUUCACUUCCCAGCUUUUCUCGGGGAGAAUCUGAUUUCACUUCCCAGGGUUUCUUGGGGAGAAUCUGAUUUCAAUUCCUAGGUUUUCUCAGGGAGAAUCUGAUUUCACUUCCCAGCUUUUCUCGGGGAGAAUCUGAUUCAGGUUUUCUCGGGGAGAAUCUGAUUUCACUUCCCAGAUUUUCUCAGGGAGAAUCUGAUUUCACUUCCCAGGGUUUCUUGGGGAGAAUCUGAUUUCACUUCCAGGUUUUUCUCGGGGAGAAUCUGAUUUCACUUCCCAGGUUUUCUUGGGGAGACUCUGAUUUCACUUCCCAGGUUUUCUUGGGGAGACUCUGAUUUCACUUCCCAGGUUUUCUUGGGGAGAAUCUGAUUUCACUUCCCAGGUUUUCUUGGGGAGAAUCUGAUUUCACUUCCCAGGUUUUCUUGGGGAGAAUCUGAUUUCACUUCCCAGGUUUUCUUGGGGAGAAUCUGAUUUCACUUCCCAGGUUUUCUUGGGGAGAAUCUGAUUUCACUUCCCAGGUUUUCUUGGGGAGAAUCUGAUUUCACUUCCCAGGUUUUCUUGGGGAGAAUCUGAUUUCACUUCCCAGGUUUUCUUGGGGAGAAUCUGAUUUCACUUCCCAGGUUUUCUUGGGGAGAAUCUGAUUUCACUUCCCAGGUUUUCUUGGGGAGAAUCUGAUUUCACUUCCCAGGUUUUCUUGGGGAGAAUCUGAUUUCACUUCCCAGGUUUUCUUGGGGAGAAUCUGAUUUCACUUCCCAGGUUUUCUUGGGGAGAAUCUGAUUUCACUUCCCAGGUUUUCUUGGGGAGAAUCUGAUUUCACUUCCCAGGUUUUCUUGGGGAGAAUCUGAUUUCACUUCCCAGGUUUUCUUGGGGAGAAUCUGAUUUCACUUCCCAGGUUUUCUCGGGGAGAAUCUGAUUUCACUUCCCAGGUUUUCUUGGGGAGAAUCUGAUUUCACUUCCCAGGUUUUCUCAGGGAGAAUCUGAUUUCACUUCCCAGGUUUUCUCAGGGAGAAUCUGAUUUCACUUCCCACAUUAAUAAUAAAAAAAUAGGUGAUCAAACACUCCUAAUGUAGAACUUUGCGUUAGCGUCCUAGGGUGUAUCCGUGAGUGGGUUCUAUAGAACUCCUUACUAAUAAAACAUAACGGAGAAAUAAAGGAAUCUCAACACCACAGGGAAGUUUUGUGUGAUUAACUGUCUACAUGUUUCGGCUUGCUAUAUUGGUCCUGAUAAUUGCCGCAUAGCAAGCCGAAACAUGUAGACAGUAAUUAAAUCACACAAAACGUCCUUGUGGUGUUGAGAUUCCUUUAUUUCUCGAUUAUACUUCCCACAUUAAAAACCCCUGCAAGCUAACAUUUGGGCCAACAAGAGUAAUAAAUAUAAGUUAAAAUAUUUUGUUUCAUAAUCAUUAUAAAAUUUUGUUUAAUACAGAUAAGGAAAAUCAGAUUGCAAGGUCAACACUUGUAAUAUUAUUGAGAAUUGUUUUGCUGCCCUACCUUAAUUGAUCUUGAAAAUGAUCAGGAAAUAAACCAUUUAAAAUAAUUUGAAUAGGAGAUGAAAUAGCAAGUGUAACCUGUCAUUACAAUUUAGUUUUAUUUUUAAUAUUCAUGAAUCUUACAAAUUUUUAAGUUAUUUUAUUUGUUCUGGUGUAAUAUUCAUUUGAGAUUUUUUCUUCAAUUCUCAAGUUCUUAAUCCAUGUACAUUUAUGAAAGAUGAUAUUCAAACAAAAAUCCAUGUAAUGAUACCUUUGUGCUUCAUUUUCAUUAAUUAGUUUUAUACAUUUUUACAUGUGACAUUCUGAUAGGGCAAACCAGAUGGGCUUUGAAUGAAUUGGAUGAAAUUGUGUAUGAAGAUAUCUAUCACUAAUUCAUUAAGCAUUAAUCUUGUGAUAGUUUUUUUUCAAUAUCUAUUUUACUACAAAUCUGUUUUUUAGGUGUAGGUUCCCUUUGUCCGUAUAUGUGGUACCUGUUUGAUGUUCAGAUUUAAUGGAUAAAUAAAGUGGCUGCCAAGCAACCAUCUUGGAUUUUGAUCGUUAAAGUUUGGUGUCGCCAUUUCUCAGCAGGUCAUUGAAAGGUCUCUCUGGUCUGUCAUGACAUAUGUCAGGGGGUGGCAGAGAAUGUGUGCAUGCAUUACCUCUGUAGUAUCAAGGAUUCCUAGACCAAGACCUAGGCCCCCUUUUGCAUACCAGUUCAACCAGUUUGUCUGUUUUAAAAUGUAACAUUUUCAGGUAUUAAUCCUGGCAGACCUGCAAAUGUUAAUGCAGGCCUUGCAAGGUUUUGUCAAUGCUCGCCUGACAGCAGCAUCAGAUUACUAGCUCGGACCUAAUUUCAUUGGUGAACUCGCGUCCUACUGGUUCAACCGUUUGGAUCGCGAUAAACGAAUGCGGCCCUAGAUUUCAGAACCAAGGCAACUGCAAUCGAGUUAAAUGACAUUGUGGUAUUGGUGGUCAAGACUAAUUUCUUAACAGUUUUAGAAACUUCAUAGACGAAUGUAUCACAAUUGGGUAUUGUAUCAGGAAUUGUUCAUAUACAUACCCCAUAUGGACAAAGUGAGGUCAGCGUUGGGUAUUUUGAACCAUUGUUAGGUUUGAUUGCACUAGAAGAACUGAAUAUGAAAAAAUGCAUUUGUUAAUCUUUUUUAUGAUGUAAAUGGUUCGAUAAAAGGCAGAUAUUUAUAAAUCUUAACUUAUGUAAGUUAUACAUGUUCGUGCAAAUCAAGUUUUAUAGGCGACUUGUUUCAAUAUCUGAAGCAAUAUGAAUUAUUUUAUGUUGAAAUUAAAAAAACUCAACACACAUCUAAAUUGUCUCCCUUUUCUUAGCUGACGUUUAAAAUAUCCUUUCCUCUACAGACUCAGAAAUAUUAGUUGUCUGCCAAAUAAAUUGCAAUACGAGUUUUUAUAGUGAAAUUGUAUUAUGACGUUAAUAUUUUUAUCGUAUUAAAAAUAGCACUUAUUAUUCAAAGUAAACUGGUCAAUAUAGAGAAAUAGAUAUGGAAAUAUUUAGCCUUGUGAUUUGAUUAAUAUUGUAAUAAAAAGGCUGAGUCAACCCACCAUUGGCAAGGAAAUCCUUUAUUUUCAAACGAACUAGUGCUUAGCUUUUUGUAACAUAAAAGAUGAAAGAGAUGGGUCCUACAUUCUUUGUACAGUAUAUAAUAUUACUAUAUAGUACAUGUACAAGGUAAUUAAAUGGUUGAUGUAUGUAAUUGGGCAUUAGUUGAUUUCAAUAUACUGUAUUACCAACAAUAAGCAUCCUUCCCUAGUCUUUUUUUAUUUAAAACAUACCUGCUCCAUUACAUUCAUGGCCUUUGUCGGAGGGUUGCCAGAUACUGGCCGCUGAUUGAUGGUAUUUCUGUCAGCAAUGUCAUUUUCCUGGCACAUCCUCAUCUGAACAUAGCUGUUGUUAGGUCAUAAAACACAAACAAACAUUCAGGGCCCACUCUGGGCAACCUGUCUUUAGAUAUUUUUUAUAUUUUUACUGGUUCAAAAAGGACUUUGUUCCACAACUGUUUCUUAACCUAGAUUUUUCUUUAACUUGAGCAUUGUUUUCCAUAUUGGGAAAAUAUGUUGAAGCAAAAACAUCUUAGUUCAGAUUAUAUGUUAAACAGGAAUCUUGUUGCUUAAUACAUCGAGUAUAGUAAUAUAUUACGUAUAUGCCACAGAGAUAGGCAAGUAACUACACAUCUUAAUUUGUAUGUAUUGAUUUUUUCCCGACAAGCAAUUAACGUUGUGAUUUGAAAUGUAAAUUAAGAAAAAAUAAGUAUUAAUAUAAAGAAAUAUUAUUUAUUCUUGGUACUAUACAUAAUGACUCAACAUAUGCUCUCCAUGUGCUAUUACAUCUGAGCAAUAGAUUCAUUUUGAUUAUUAUAGAAAGUUUGAGAAAAUCAUCUGAAGAAGUCUUAAAUAUAUUUUAAAGCAACGGAGAGAUUGAACACAUGCAUUGUUGAUCUAUAUACGUCAUACAAGUGUGAUUGAACACAUGCAUUGUUGAUCUAUAUACGUCAUACAAGUGUGCUUUAUUGCAUGCAUGUUAAAAGUUGUUCAAGUAUUAAGACUACAAGAUCUGGCUGGCCUGGUGUUAAUAAAAAUAAUCAGAUGCUCAAAUUCUGAUUAUGUGCUCAAUUUUGUUUCCUAGUAUAGGUCAGUAAUUGCUUUUGAAAUUUUCAUACAAUUUGUUUAUAUAAUAGUUUAAAAAAUAUUUUAUUUCCAAUUUGUUCCGCAACUCAUAGUAUGAAGAGGAUUGGAAAAUAACCUAAAAGCUGAUACUAAGUUUAUAUAAUAAUUGAGACUUAAAAUUUACGUCCUUGUUCAGUGAAAAGAAGUUCUGGGUACUUGUGAUGUGGGGCUUUUGUUUGAGCAUUUGAUUGUUUUUAUGAAUACAAGGCCGUUUUGUAAAUGUUAAAAACCCUGCAAUGAAAAUGUUACCGUUUAUUGUUAUUCCUCAAGGUUGUGUGUAAACAGUGGAGCCUCGUUAAUCUGAACUCAGAUUUCUCUAUUGUUGUUAUACUUAGUGGGACUAAAAUAUUCCAAUGCAGAUACCAGAUGUAUAGGGGUAUAAUAUAGAUUCAGGUAUCCUAAUUAAAUCUUCAUUAUUUCCAUGCUACAUAAAGGAAUAUCAUCGGUCGCAUCCUUCAUGUCAUUCUAUCAUUGCAAAUAAAAGACAAGACUUUAUGUGGCAACUUAAAUUGUGACUCUUCAUAAUGUUGCACAGCCAUGGGCUGUUCCCUAUGACUGUUCUAUGUGCAGUUGACAUUUUUACAUUGGAGUGUAGUACUAUUAUAGAAACUCAAUAUUUAAAAAUCAAUCGUAAGAAUUGUUGAGAAAAUAACGUUGAAACACGACUAUCAAAAUGCAAUGAUUUGUUUAGUACCGUUCAUGAAUCUAUUGAAUUAGUGAAGGGGGGUAACUCCAUUUCUCACUCCUUUCAUUCUAACGAAUGUUUCCAAGUACGAGGUUCUGCUGUUUGCCUUCAUAUUACUCUUGUUUUACAUACAGUAUAAAUUGUUUUACCAGUUAUGCUAUUGCUAUUGAUAUGCUACCACUAUUUUGAUGAAUAAAACUCGCUUAUAAUUCA